UACGUAGGGCGCGAGCGUUGUCCGGAAUUAUUGGGCGUAAAGAGCUCGUAGGCGGCCGGUUGCGUCUGCUGUGAAAACUCGAGGCUUAACCUCGAGCUGUCGGCGGAAACCAUCUGGCUAGAGUCCGGAAGAGGAGAAUGGAAUUCCCGGUGUAGCGGUGAAAUGCGCAGAUAUCGGGAAGAACACCCGUGGCGAAGGCGGUUCUCUGGGACGGUACUGACGCUGAGACGCGAAAGCGUGGGGAGCGAACAGG
Molecule: ribosomal RNA, 253 nt
Filed under: uncultured bacterium
Lineage: Bacteria
Description: partial 16S ribosomal RNA
Rfam family: Bacterial small subunit ribosomal RNA
Source: RNAcentral